AUGUUAUUUUUGUUUGUUGAAAUUUCAGGGGUGGAAUCAAUUGCAAUGGAAAUGAAAGACAAGAAACUAACUGUGAUCGGAGAUAUUGAUCCAAUAAAAAUAGCGGCCAAACUCAGGAAGCUCUGUCACACGGAGAUAUUGACAGUUGGACCUGCCAAAGAACCCGAGAAGAAGAAAGAAGAGCCAAAGAAAGACGACGGUAAAAAAGAAGAGGCAAAGAAAGAUGACGGUAAAAAGAAAGAAGAAGCUGUAAAAGCUGCUGUAGUGGCAUACCCUGGUUUUCAACAGGGUUAUUAUGCUCCCCAGCAAAUGUACCCAGCCUAUUAUCAGCAGCAGCCUUCAGUGCCAACACACUAUUACCAUAAUCUCGCAAGAGUGGAAGAAGAUCCUAAUUCUUGCGUUAUUUGUUAAUUCAUCUCCAGUAUUUCAUAUCAAUUCAAUUUAUUCAUUUUUGUAAAAUGCUGAAGUUCAGAAGGUGAAAUUUCACGUAUGGGAAAAUAUUGUUUGUCGUUAAAAAUCAUUCGCGGAUUUAACAUAUAAACUCUGUGAUCAGGUGCUGAUGUGUGAUAUUAGAUGCCAUCAACAUUGUUCAACAUAAAUCACAAUUCAGAUUACAACUUGAUUAACCAGGAAUCUCAACGAAUUUCUGGAAUGGAGAUCAUACGAAUACAAUAGGAGUCUCUCGUGCAAAUGCCAAACUUCUUGUUCAGUAUCUUAUCCGCACCAGUGAACGGUCUUAUAGUCAUGCUGCAUUGAUGUUGUUAGUAGAAUUAGGUUCACAGCAGACGUAUGUUGCAGUACGAUUUUACAGAUAAUAAGCUCAAAAAGAAGAAAACCCUGCUUAAUUCUUACAAAAUUGGUUGGAUUAAGGCCAAAAUUCGGUAGGAAUGAUCAUUUCCUGUGCCUCAAUCGUUCAUAUUUCAGUGAUCCGAAAACUAUUACUUUGACAAGAUUAUUUCAUCAUCCGUUUUAACCUGAAUAGAAUUUUGAGACUUAAAAUUUCGGAUGGUUAGAUCUAAUUAUACUGUCAGAUCGAUUUUUGUCAUUUAUAAGAUGAAUUUCGGGGCCGUUUGGGUGAGCUUAAAAUAAGUGCUUCUUGCUUAAAAUAAAAAAAUGGAAUAGAAGUUAGAAGUAAGUUAAGACUUAUAAGUGAUUAAAGUGUUUGGGAAAGAAGUAGAAAUCCUGAAACAAAAGCUAACAUUCCUAGCUUUUUAUAAGUGAUUCUUGACUUUUUACACAAGCGGUACGAAUAAGUGCUUAUAAUUUAUAAACCAGAAGCCGAGCUUUUAAGCUCUAAACAAACACCACCGAAAUAUACAUGCACUCUAAACCGUCAUAAACAAACAAACUAUUUUAGUUUGUCAAAAUGCAGGACUUACAAGUACACUAUUUUGCUGCUUCUUAGAAAUAGCGGGUAGGGUAACAAAAUUGAAAAUGACCAUCAUGACAACUCACAAGAGGAGAGGCACCAAACGCACCGGUCUUCCUCAUAUCCGACGUCGCUUCCCAACUUUAAUGUCAAUAAUUCAUUAGACCUGUGCUUCAAUGCGCUGCAUUUUUUAUUUUUUUUAAUCGCGAUUUAGUGAUUUUCAUCUCUGUUAAUUUUGCAGAAGGUUGUGAUGAAAAUCAAAUUGCAUGAUGAGAAAGUGAAGCAAAAAGCCAUGAAAAUUGUUUCCGGCCUAAAUGGUAAGCACGCUUACCACAUACAACCUAAAGUUGUAUUAUGUCUCACUCGGAAGUAAGGUCUAGCUUGUCUGUGCGUCGCUGAAAAGCUAAUGUUAUUUUUGUUUGUUGAAAUUUCAGGGGUGGAAUCAAUUGCAAUGGAUAUGAAAGACAAGAAAUUAACUGUGAUCGGUGAUAUAGAUCCGAUAAAAAAUAGUGGCUAAGCUGAGGAAGAUCUGUCACACUGAGAUAUUGACAGUUGGACCUGCCAAAGAACCGGAGAAGAAGAAAGAAGAGCCAAAGAAAGAUGACGGUAAAAAAGAAGAGCCAAAGAAAGAUGAUGGUAAAAAAGAAGAGGCAAAGAAAGAUGAUGGUAAAAAGAAAGAAGAAGCUGUGAAAGCUGCUGUAGUGGCACACCCUGGUUUUCAACAGGGCUAUUACGUUCCACAGCAAAUGUAUCCAGGCUAUUAUCAGCAGCAACAUGCUUAUAGUUAUCAGCAGCAGUCUUCAGUGCCAUCACACUAUUAUCAUAAUCUCGUGAGCGUGGAAGAAGAUCCUAAUUCCUGUGUUAUAUGUUAAUUCAUUUUGAUUAAACCUAACCAAACCAAACGUAUCAGUAUAUCCCGGUUUGAUCCCGAUUUGAGUAGUGUCCAAACGUAUCUGAGGAGGAUAAAAUGUACACAGACCAUGCCCCUGUUCUGAAAGAGCUGGGAGGCUCGUCUUGAUUGUUUCAUAUUAAUUGAAUUUAUUCAUUUUUGUGAUGAAAUAAAAGUUCAGAAGUUGAGAUUAGUGUACUCAUUCGCAAUUCUGCCAUAUAAACUCCGCGAAAAAAGGGGACAGGAACUGAAGUGUAAUAUUAGGUACCAUCAACAUUAUUUUAACAUACAUCACAGCUCAAAAGUAAGCAAAUUAAAUUGAUGUUAGAGCCUAAUUAACCAGGAAGAUCAAUGAACUUAUAGCACGGAGCUCAUACAAAUGUGACAGGAGCUCAGCAUGUUCAGUGCAUUGAUCUUGUUAGAUAUGAUGUCGGGUUCAUGGAAAAUAUAUGUUGCAGCAUAUGUUCGGUGAUAAUAAUUUCAGAAAGAAGAAAAGCCACAUGUUUUUUACUCAACGGGGUAGAUGAUCUGACCCCACAACCACAUGUAUUUAAUUUAAGUGAUCCGGAAAUUAAAUGGGUAGAAAAUGACACAUGUUGAUCAUUGGUGGGGCUCAAUGCUGACGUGGACAUCCACAUGGCACAAUACCGUAUGCUAACAUGGGAUCCAGACAUGGAGCUGAAUCCCAACAUUGACACGGUGUCAAGUGCCAUGUUGAAAUUUAGUUGAGGUAGGAAAAUUGACAGACUAUUGAUUUGAGUAUGAACAAGCUAAAUUAACAAAUUGUCCGGAAGAGCUUAACACCCCAAGGUCAUAGGUUAAAUUUCACUGGGAGGCCCUCAAAGUCGUAGGCUGAAUUCCACUAAAAGGCGGAAGGCACGAAAAUAAGUGGUCUGUCAUGUUUGGUGGGUACGAAUGUGCUAGCAAUUCUCUGGAUUAGUCGAGGUGCACGAAAGUUGGCUCAGACACCAAAUAACAAAAAAAAAGUUUGAAAACAAAAAGAAACAAAUAUGUGCUUUUUAAUAAUGCAAACUCUAAAAUCCUAAAAUGGGUGUCUAAAUUACAGAUAAAUAACAUGGACUCUUCAUUCACGUAAAAAAAACAAGAGUUAUGUCUUUCACCAUAAAAUAUCACAAAAGAUUGUCAUAAACCAGACCCUUUCAGUAUUUUCGUACUUUGUCAUUAUUUAAGCCUUGUACGUUUCAUAAUUUUGCGACUUCUUAGAAGGAGAGUGUAGGGCAACAAAAUUGAAACUGACCAUCAUGGCAAGUGGCAACUCACAAGAGGAGAAAGACACUCCACUGCCAGGCCCAGACGUCAUCGUUCCAUUGCUCUACGACGUCGUUUUCUUACUUAAAUAACGCCAAUAAUACAUCAAACCUCUACCUUUCAGCACUUGGGUGGAAAAUUCCAUUUUCUUGUCAUACAACUCGCAUCUAUGAAAAUUAAAAAAAAAAAUUGACUAUCUACAGCAGUUGACUAUCUUGACUCUUCCUAUCUACCUUGUAUUAUAAAAACCCCAUUUAGAUUCUUCACAUUUCAUUAAGUUAUUUAAGCUUCUCCUCACUCUUCUCCAAGUGUCUGCUGCCUGAGUAUUAGAAUAUUCAUUUUCUUCACUUUGAAAUUUUGCUAGAAUUUGUAGCACUCAAAUCAAAUCUCACUACUUCACCAACAAUAACAUGAAGGUUAGUGUCUGCUUUUGUGUGUGCUUAAGUUUUGUUCAACAUGCUACAUUUUUUUAUUAUUUUUAAUCGCGGUUUAAUGAAUUUAAUCUUUGUUAAUAUUGCAGAAGGUUGUGAUGAAAAUUGAAUUGCAUGAUGAGAAAGUGAAGCAAAAAGCCAUGAAACUUGUUUCUGGCCUCAAUGGUAAGCACACACACCACAUCAAAUUUUGUAGCAUAUCGUAGGUACCAGUAUGUCUCACUCAGAAGUAGGGUCUGAAGUCUGAACAAGUAUAAAAAUACUCUGCUAAAAAGCUAAUGUUAUUUGUUUUUGUUGAAAUUUCAGGGGUGGAAUCAAUCGCAAUGGAAAUGAAAGACAAGAAACUAACUGUGAUCGGAGAUAUUGAUCCAAUAAAAAUAGCGGCCAAACUCAGGAAGCUCUGUCACACGGAGAUAUUGACAGUUGGACCUGCCAAAGAACCAGAGAAGAAAAAGGAAGAGCCAAAGAAAGACGACGGUAAAAAAGAAGAGGCAAAGAAAGAUGACAGUAAAAAGAAAGAAGAAGCUGUAAAAGCUGCUGUAGUGGCAUUCCCUGGUUUUCAACAGGGUUAUUAUGCUCCCCAGCAAAUGUACCCAGCCUAUUAUCAGCAGCAGCCUUCAGCGCCAACACACUAUUACCAUAAUCUCGCGAGUGUGGAAGAAGAUCCUAAUGCUUGCGUUAUUUGUUAAUUC
Molecule: long non-coding RNA, 4650 nt
Filed under: Daucus carota (carrot)
Lineage: Eukaryota; Viridiplantae; Streptophyta; Magnoliopsida; Apiales; Apiaceae
Description: long non-coding RNA (DCAR_LNC001697)
Source: RNAcentral